This 187-nucleotide ribosomal RNA is filed under the name uncultured rumen bacterium. RNAcentral's name for it is "partial 16S ribosomal RNA". It matches the Rfam family "Bacterial small subunit ribosomal RNA", at positions 340 to 524 of the family's 1533-position model. The record is from RNAcentral.
UACGGGAGGCAGCAGUGAGGAAUAUUGGUCAAUGGGCGAGAGCCUGAACCAGCCAAGUAGCGUGAAGGAAGACUGCCCUAUGGGUUGUAAACUUCUUUUGUAUGGGAAUAAAGUCCACUACGUGUAGUGGUUUGUAUGUACCUUACGAAUAAGCAUCGGCUAAUUCCGUGCCAGCAGCCGCGGUAAU